CCUACGGGAGGCAGCAGUGGGGAAUAUUGGACAAUGGGCGAAAGCCUGAUCCAGCAAUGCCGCGUGAGUGAUGAAGGCCUUAGGGUCGUAAAGCUCUUUUACCAGGGAUGAUAAUGACAGUACCUGGAGAAUAAGCUCCGGCUAACUCCGUGCCAGCAGCCGCGGUAAUACGGAGGGAGCUAGCGUUGUUCGGAAUUACUGGGCGUAAAGCGUACGUAGGCGGUUAUUCAAGUCAGAGGUGAAAGCCCGGGGCUCAACCCCGGAACGGCCUUUGAAACUAGAUAGCUAGAGUCUUGGAGAGGUCAGUGGAAUUCCGAGUGUAGAGGUGAAAUUCGUAGAUAUUCGGAAGAACACCAGUGGCGAAGGCGACUGACUGGACAAGUACUGACGCUGAGGUACGAAAGCGUGGGGAGCAAACAGGAUUAGAUACCCUGGUAGUCCACGCCGUAAACGAUGAUAACUAGCUGUCCGGGUACUUGGUAUCUGGGUGGCGCAGCUAACGCAUUAAGUUAUCCGCCUGGGGAGUACGGUCGCAAGAUUAAAACGUCAAAGGAAUUAACGG
Molecule: ribosomal RNA, 562 nt
Filed under: uncultured bacterium
Lineage: Bacteria
Description: bacterial SSU rRNA
Rfam family: Bacterial small subunit ribosomal RNA
Source: RNAcentral